Molecule: ribosomal RNA, 274 nt
Filed under: uncultured bacterium
Lineage: Bacteria
Description: partial 16S ribosomal RNA
Rfam family: Bacterial small subunit ribosomal RNA
Source: RNAcentral
AUACGGAGGGGGCUAGCGUUGUUCGGAAUUACUGGGCGUAAAGCGCGCGUAGGCGGAUAGUUAAGUCGGGGGUGAAAUCCCGGGGCUCAACCCCGGAACUGCCUCUGAUACUGGCUGUCUUGAGUUCGAGAGAGGUGAGUGGAAUUCCGAGUGUAGAGGUGAAAUUCGUAGAUAUUCGGAGGAACACCAGUGGCGAAGGCGGCUCACUGGCUCGAUACUGACGCUGAGGUGCGAAAGCGUGGGGAGCAAACAGGAUUAGAAACCCCAGUAGUCC